UACGAAGGGGGCUAGCGUUGCUCGGAAUUACUGGGCGUAAAGCGCACGUAGGCGGCUUUCUAAGUCGGGGGUGAAAUCCUGGAGCUCAACUCCAGAACUGCCUUCGAUACUGGAGAGCUCGAGUCCGGGAGAGGUGAGUGGAACUGCGAGUGUAGAGGUGAAAUUCGUAGAUAUUCGCAAGAACACCAGUGGCGAAGGCGGCUCACUGGCCCGGUACUGACGUUGAGGCGCGAAAGCGUGGGGAGCAAACAGG
Molecule: ribosomal RNA, 253 nt
Filed under: uncultured bacterium
Lineage: Bacteria
Description: partial 16S ribosomal RNA
Rfam family: Bacterial small subunit ribosomal RNA
Source: RNAcentral